GAUGAACGCUGGCGGCGUGCCUAAUACAUGCAAGUCGAGCGAACAGACGAGGAGCUUGCUCCUCUGACGUUAGCGGCGGACGGGUGAGUAACACGUGGAUAACCUACCUAUAAGACUGGGAUAACUUCGGGAAACCGGAGCUAAUACCGGAUAACAUGUUGAACCGCAUGGUUCAACAGUGAAAGACGGUCUUGCUGUCACUUAUAGAUGGAUCCGCGCCGCAUUAGCUAGUUGGUAAGGUAACGGCUUACCAAGGCAACGAUGCGUAGCCGACCUGAGAGGGUGAUCGGCCACACUGGAACUGAGACACGGUCCAGACUACUACGGGAGGCAGCAGUAGGGAAUCUUCCGCAAUGGGCGAAAGCCUGACGGAGCAACGCCGCGUGAGUGAAGAAGGUCUUCGGAUCGUAAAACUCUGUUAUUAGGGAAGAACAAAUGAGUAAGUAACUAUGCACGUCUUGACGGUACCUAAUCAGAAAGCCACGGCUAACUACGUG
Molecule: ribosomal RNA, 497 nt
Filed under: uncultured bacterium
Lineage: Bacteria
Description: partial 16S ribosomal RNA
Rfam family: Bacterial small subunit ribosomal RNA
Source: RNAcentral